This 433-nucleotide ribosomal RNA is filed under the name uncultured bacterium. RNAcentral describes it as "partial 16S ribosomal RNA". It matches the Rfam family "Bacterial small subunit ribosomal RNA", at positions 29 to 507 of the family's 1533-position model. The record is from RNAcentral.
AACGAACGCUGGCGGCAUGCCUAACACAUGCAAGUCGAACGAGACCUUCGGGUCUAGUGGCGCACGGGUGCGUAACGCGUGGGAACCUGCCCUUAGGUUCGGAAUAACUCCCCGAAAGGGGUGCUAAUACCGGAUAAUGUCUUCGGACCAAAGAUUUAUCGCCUUUGGAUGGGCCCGCGUUGGAUUAGCUAGUUGGUAGGGUAAAAGCCUACCAAGGCGACGAUCCAUAGCUGGUCUGAGAGGAUGAUCAGCCACACUGGGACUGAGACACGGCCCAGACUCCUACGGGAAGCAGCAGUGGGGAAUAUUGGACAAUGGGCGAAAGCCUGAUCCAGCAAUGCCGCGUGAGUGAUGAAGGCCUGAGGGUUGUAAAGCUCUUUUACCCGGGAUGAUAAUGACAGUACCGGGAGAAUAAGCUACGGCUAACUCCGUG